This is a long non-coding RNA of Triticum aestivum (bread wheat), 654 nucleotides long. RefSeq lists it as uncharacterized. The record is from RefSeq and is a predicted model, not a curated record. NCBI's taxonomy places the organism in Eukaryota, Viridiplantae, Streptophyta, Magnoliopsida, Poales, Poaceae. The transcript has 3 exons.
UCACCUCCACCGAAUCUCCGCUAAUUGUGCCACUGCCACACCGAGAAUUCCUCUCUCUCCCUCCCGGUUUCACCUCUGGUCUCUCUCUCUUCCCCAAACGCGCAACAGCGCUAGGGAUUUGCCGUCCCACCAAAUCGCGAUUCAGAUCAUGGAGGGCGGCGUAGGAACUGUCGAAUCCUGCCACCCACAGAAUCCUUCUUCCUCUCCUUCCCUUCUCUAUACCCAACAAGGCGAUUGGGCGGACCGGCGACAGGCGGGGCAACGGAAAAGGGUGGGCGAUGCCGUGACGAGAUGAGGGAAUGAGGCGGAGAAACCGAGCGGACGAGCAACCGGACAGACACAGCUCGAGCUUCCUUCUGUAACUCCUACAUUGGUGUUUAAAGACUUGGCGGUAAACCGAGUGCAAUUAGGCAACAGCAGUGCCAAGGUUCAGUUCAGCAAGGAGACCAAGUGCCCCUACAUUGUCCAUUCCUACAACACCCUGGCCUGUCAAACGAGAAGACUCGAUGCAGCCAGCUACGACUAUGGCCCACUUGACAACCAAGCCAAACAACACGCAAAACAAGCCAAGAACAUGCAGAUGAAGUAAGCACUAAGUUGGUGACUUGGUGUAAGAGUAUGGACUUGAACACGAUGAAUGAUGUACUCGCCGGA